RNAcentral lists this non-coding RNA (27 nucleotides) under Homo sapiens (human). Lineage: Eukaryota; Metazoa; Chordata; Mammalia; Primates; Hominidae. The record is from RNAcentral.
GAGGAAUGAUGACAAGAAAAGGCCGAA